GACGAACGCUGGCGGCGUGCUUAACACAUGCAAGUCGAACGGAAAGGCCCUGCUUUUGUGGGGUGCUCGAGUGGCGAACGGGUGAGUAACACGUGAGUAACCUGCCCUUGACUUUGGGAUAACUUCAGGAAACUGGGGCUAAUACCGGAUAGGAGCUCCUGCUGCAUGGUGGGGGUUGGAAAGUUUCGGCGGUUGGGGAUGGACUCGCGGCUUAUCAGCUUGUUGGUGGGGUAGUGGCUUACCGAGGCUUUGACGGGUAGCCGGCCUGAGGGGGUGACCGGCCACAUUGGGACUGAGAUACGGCCCAGACUCCUACGGGAGGCAGCAGUGGGGAAUAUUGCACAAUGGGCGGAAGCCUGAUGCAGCAACGCCGCGUGCGGGAUGACGGCCUUCGGGUUGUAAACCGCUUUCGCCUGUGACGAAGCGUGAGUGACGGUAAUGGGUAAAGAAGCACCGGCUAACUACGUG
This 468-nucleotide ribosomal RNA is filed under the name uncultured bacterium. Its description in RNAcentral is "partial 16S ribosomal RNA". It matches the Rfam family "Bacterial small subunit ribosomal RNA", at positions 28 to 507 of the family's 1533-position model. The record is from RNAcentral.